This 253-nucleotide ribosomal RNA is filed under the name uncultured bacterium. Its description in RNAcentral is "partial 16S ribosomal RNA". It matches the Rfam family "Bacterial small subunit ribosomal RNA", at positions 524 to 776 of the family's 1533-position model. The record is from RNAcentral.
UACGUAGGGGGCAAGCGUUGUCCGGAAUCAUUGGGCGUAAAGAGCGUGUAGGCGGCUCGGUAAGUCCGCUGUGAAAGUCCAGGGCUCAACCCUGGAAUGCCGGUGGAAACUGUCGAGCUAGAGUCCGGAAGAGGCGAGUGGAAUUCCUGGUGUAGCGGUGAAAUGCGCAGAUAUCAGGAGGAACACCAAUGGCGAAGGCAGCUCGCUGGGACGGUACUGACGCUGAGACGCAAAAGCGUGGGGAGCAAACAGG